GCCGAGGUGCUGGCGGGACCGAUCGGUGGCGCAGCUGUGAGGCACUGUGGCGCGUUCUCAUGUACAGGCGCGGCUGGGACCGAACGGAGUUAAUGCGGGAGAGAAGUGGAGCGGAGUGAGCAGCAGCAGGCGUGCAGAAGCUUAAAGUGUAGAGAUUUGUCUGCUGCUGUUGAAGAUCUUCUCCAAAAAUGGGAAGAACUACAUGUGACAGCAGCUGCCAUUUUUUGAGGACAUGUUCCAUCCUGCAAGAUGUCUUUUUCACAAAGCAGUAUAUUUUCUUCAUCACCACGACAACGCACUUCACUCCAGUAAACAGGAAUAAGGCCCAGUCCAGAAAAUGUUAAUCCAUCUGCCUUUGUUCUGUGAUCUACUUAAAAUCAGAAGCUACACCGUCAUCCAAUUUGCAGAUGUUUUAGCAACUGGAGAAAACAGUCAAUUAUUGUGCCUGCAUUUCAUAGUUAUAUGUGUUCCUGUAUGCGUCAAUAACAACAACAAUAGAAUACAGUGACAACAGGGGAAGAAUUUAUCCACAUAUACAGAGCAAAGGAUAGCACAAGACAAAACUUUUACACAUCAGAAACUCUUUCCCCAACAUGUCAAAAUGAAAGAAAUCUGAAGUCCUCUGCAUCUCCAGCAGAAGCCUUAGGAAAGAAGAUUGAAAAGCAGAGUUCUGACUGUGGACACAUACCAUUAAACUAUUAAGAAAAUAGCCUUUCCCUCUCCACCCACUCUCCUAAAGAACCCCGGGUGACAUCUGGUCCCUGUUGAAGUGGGAAAACACACUACUGGUAUCAGUUGGUAGGGAAAAGAAAAUUACUGGAAAGGACACUGCUAUAUUUCCACAGGCCUGUGAAAAAAGACAUAGAUUAAAACAAUAAAUCAGAGAUUUUUAAAAAAAAUUUAUCUAAUAUCUCAACAAAAUAUUUUGGUUUGCCUUUUUCCUGGAGAUUUACUACUGCAUGUAGAAACACCAAUGUUUUAUGUUGGGUAGUAGAAUUCAAAACAUAUCUUAUUCAUCUCUCAAGAAAGUAAGAUAAAGAACCAGCUUCUAUGAUAUAGAAAACACAUAAGAUGAUUGUUAAAAGUAAUUUUGUAAUGAAUUUAAAAUGUGAUUUUCACCCGAUAAGUUAAUCUAGAAAGAAAU
Colius striatus (speckled mousebird) is the source of this 1144-nucleotide long non-coding RNA. RefSeq lists it as uncharacterized. The transcript is spliced from 5 exons. The record is from RefSeq and is a predicted model, not a curated record. NCBI's taxonomy places the organism in Eukaryota, Metazoa, Chordata, Aves, Coliiformes, Coliidae.